GGGUUGUGAGGUUAAGCGACUAAGCGUACACGGUGGAUGCCCUGGCAGUCAGAGGCGAUGAAGGACGUGCUAAUCUGCGUAAAGCGUCGGUAAGGUGAUAUGAACCGCUACAGCCGACGAUGUCCGAAUGGGGAAACCCGGUGCACUCAGUGCAUCAUCGCAACAUGAAUACAUAGUGUUGCGAGGCGAACCUGGGGAACUGAAACAUCUAAGUACCCAGAGGAAAAGAAAUCAACCGAGAUUCCCCCAGUAGCGGCGAGCGAACGGGGAACAGCCCAGAACCUGAAUCAGUUUGUGCGUUAGUGGAAGCGUCUGGAAAGUCGCGCGAUACCGGGUGAUAGCCCCGUACACGAAAGUGCACAUACUGUGAGUUCGAAGAGUAGGGCGGGACACGUGGUAUCCUGUCUGAAUAUGGGGGGACCAUCCUCCAAGGCUAAAUACUCCUGACUGACCGAUAGUGAACCAGUACCGUGAGGGAAAGGCGAAAAGAACCCCGGCGAGGGGAGUGAAACAGAACCUGAAACCGUGUACGUACAAGCAGUGGGAGCCUCAUUUAUGGGGUGACUGCGUACCUUUUGUAUAAUGGGUCAGCGACUUAUAUUCUGUAGCAAGGUUAACCGUAUAGGGGAGCCGCAGGGAAACCGAGUCUUAACUGGGCGUUAAGUUGCAGGGUAUAGACCCGAAACCCGGUGAUCUAGCCAUGGGCAGGUUGAAGGUUGGGUAACACUAACUGGAGGACCGAACCGACUAAUGUUGAAAAAUUAGCGGAUGACUUGUGGCUGGGGGUGAAAGGCCAAUCAAACCGGGAGAUAGCUGGUUCUCCCCGAAAGCUAUUUAGGUAGCGCCUCGUGAACUCAUCUUCGGGGGUAGAGCACUGUUUCGGCUAGGGGGCCAUCCCGGCUUACCAACCCGAUGCAAACUGCGAAUACCGAAGAAUGUUAUCACGGGAGACACACGGCGGGUGCUAACGUCCGUCGUGAAGAGGGAAACAACCCAGACCGCCAGCUAAGGUCCCAAAGUCAUGGUUAAGUGGGAAACGAUGUGGGAAGGCACAGACAGCCAGGAUGUUGGCUUAGAAGCAGCCAUCAUUUAAAGAAAGCGUAAUAGCUCACUGGUCGAGUCGGCCUGCGCGGAAGAUGUAACGGGGCUAAACCAUGCACCGAAGCUGCGGCAGCGACGCUUAUGCGUUGUUGGGUAGGGGAGCGUUCUGUAAGCCGUUGAAGGUGUCCUGUGAGGGGUGCUGGAGGUAUCAGAAGUGCGAAUGCUGACAUAAGUAACGAUAAAGCGGGUGAAAAGCCCGCUCGCCGGAAGACCAAGGGUUCCUGUUCAACGUUAAUCGGAGCAGGGUGAGUCGACCCCUAAGGCGAGGCUGAAAAGCGUAGUCGAUGGGAAGCAGGUUAAUAUUCCUGCACUUGGUGUUACUGCGAAGGGGGGACGGAGAAGGCUAGGUUAUCCGGGCGACGGUUGUCCCGGUUUAAGCGUGUAGGCUGAUAUCUUUGGUAAAUCCGGG
Molecule: ribosomal RNA, 1510 nt
Filed under: Enterobacteriaceae bacterium RIT692
Lineage: Bacteria; Pseudomonadati; Pseudomonadota; Gammaproteobacteria; Enterobacterales; Enterobacteriaceae
Description: partial 23S ribosomal RNA
Rfam family: Bacterial large subunit ribosomal RNA
Source: RNAcentral